GAUGAACGCUGGCGGCGUGCUUAACACAUGCAAGUCGAACGGUGAAGGCGGAGCUUGGUCUGCUGGAUGAGUGGCGAACGGGUGAGUAACACGUGAGCAAUCUGCCCCUGACUCUGGGAUAAGCGCUGGAAACGGCGUCUAAUACUGGAUACGAGCUGCGGAGGCAUGUUCAGCAGCUGGAAAGAACUGCGGUCAGGGAUGAGCUCGCGGCCUAUCAGCUUGUUGGUGGGGUAACGGCUCACCAAGGCGUUGACGGGUAGCCGGCCUGAGAGGGUGACCGGCCAAUCUGGAACUAGGAAACGGCCCAAACUCCUACGGGGGGAAGCAGUGGGGAAAAUUGCACAAUGGCCGAAACCCUAAGGCAGCACCCCCGCGUGGGGGACAACGGCUUUCGGGUUGAAAACCUCUUUUCGCGGGGAAGAGGCGAAAGGGAGGGAACCGGCAGAAAAAGCGCCGGCUAACUACGU
This 467-nucleotide ribosomal RNA is filed under the name uncultured bacterium. RNAcentral describes it as "partial 16S ribosomal RNA". It matches the Rfam family "Bacterial small subunit ribosomal RNA", at positions 28 to 506 of the family's 1533-position model. The record is from RNAcentral.